This 485-nucleotide ribosomal RNA is filed under the name uncultured bacterium. RNAcentral describes it as "partial 16S ribosomal RNA". It matches the Rfam family "Bacterial small subunit ribosomal RNA", at positions 30 to 507 of the family's 1533-position model. The record is from RNAcentral.
UUGAACGCUGGCGGCAUGCCUUACACAUGCCAGUCGAACGGCAGCACGGGUGCUUGCACCUGGUGGCGCGUGGCGAACGGGUGAGUAAUACAUCGGAACAUGUCCUGUAGUGGGGGAUAGCCCGGCGAAAGCCGGAUUAAUACCGCAUACGAUCUACGGAUGAAAGCGGGGGACCUUCGGGCCUCGCGCUAUAGGGUUGGCCGAUGGCUGAUUAGCUAGUUGGUGGGGUAAAGGCCUACCAAGGCGACGAUCAGUAGCUGGUCUGAGAGGACGACCAGCCACACUGGGACUGAGACACGGCCCAGACUCCUACGGGAGGCAGCAGUGGGGAAUUUUGGACAAUGGGCGAAAGCCUGAUCCAGCAAUGCCGCGUGUGUGAAGAAGGCCUUCGGGUUGUAAAGCACUUUUGUCCGGAAAGAAAUCCUUGGCCCUAAUACGGUCGGGGGAUGACGGUACCGGAAGAAUAAGCACCGGCUAACUACGUG